This 1372-nucleotide ribosomal RNA is filed under the name uncultured bacterium. RNAcentral describes it as "bacterial SSU rRNA". It matches the Rfam family "Bacterial small subunit ribosomal RNA", at positions 28 to 1381 of the family's 1533-position model. The record is from RNAcentral.
GAUGAACGCUGGCGGCGUGCCUAAUACAUGCAAGUCGAGCGAACGGACGAGAAGCUUGCUUCUCUGAUGUUAGCGGCGGACGGGUGAGUAACACGUGGAUAACCUACCUAUAAGACUGGGAUAACUUCGGGAAACCGGAGCUAAUACCGGAUAAUAUUUUGAACCGCAUGGUUCAAAAGUGAAAGACGGUCUUGCUGUCACUUAUAGAUGGAUCCGCGCUGCAUUAGCUAGUUGGUAAGGUAACGGCUUACCAAGGCAACGAUGCAUAGCCGACCUGAGAGGGUGAUCGGCCACACUGGAACUGAGACACGGUCCAGACUCCUACGGGAGGCAGCAGUAGGGAAUCUUCCGCAAUGGGCGAAAGCCUGACGGAGCAACGCCGCGUGAGUGAUGAAGGUCUUCGGAUCGUAAAACUCUGUUAUUAGGGAAGAACAUAUGUGUAAGUAACUGUGCACAUCUUGACGGUACCUAAUCAGAAAGCCACGGCUAACUACGUGCCAGCAGCCGCGGUAAUACGUAGGUGGCAAGCGUUAUCCGGAAUUAUUGGGCGUAAAGCGCGCGUAGGCGGUUUUUUAAGUCUGAUGUGAAAGCCCACGGCUCAACCGUGGAGGGUCAUUGGAAACUGGAAAACUUGAGUGCAGAAGAGGAAAGUGGAAUUCCAUGUGUAGCGGUGAAAUGCGCAGAGAUAUGGAGGAACACCAGUGGCGAAGGCGACUUCCUGGUCUGUAACUGACGCUGAUGUGCGAAAGCGUGGGGAUCAAACAGGAUUAGAUACCCUGGUAGUCCACGCCGUAAACGAUGAGUGCUAAGUGUUAGGGGGUUUCCGCCCCUUAGUGCUGCAGCUAACGCAUUAAGCACUCCGCCUGGGGAGUACGACCGCAAGGUUGAAACUCAAAGGAAUUGACGGGGACCCGCACAAGCGGUGGAGCAUGUGGUUUAAUUCGAAGCAACGCGAAGAACCUUACCAAAUCUUGACAUCCUUUGACAACUCUAGAGAUAGAGCUUUCCCCUUCGGGGGACAAAGUGACAGGUGGUGCAUGGUUGUCGUCAGCUCGUGUCGUGAGAUGUUGGGUUAAGUCCCGCAACGAGCGCAACCCUUAAGCUUAGUUGCCAUCAUUAAGUUGGGCACUCUAAGUUGACUGCCGGUGACAAACCGGAGGAAGGUGGGGAUGACGUCAAAUCAUCAUGCCCCUUAUGAUUUGGGCUACACACGUGCUACAAUGGACAAUACAAAGGGCAGCGAAACCGUGAGGUCAAGCAAAUCCCAUAAAGUUGUUCUCAGUUCGGAUUGUAGUCUGCAACUCGACUACAUGAAGCUGGAAUCGCUAGUAAUCGUAGAUCAGCAUGCUACGGUGAAUACGUUCCCGGGUCU